Molecule: ribosomal RNA, 687 nt
Filed under: uncultured bacterium
Lineage: Bacteria
Description: bacterial SSU rRNA
Rfam family: Bacterial small subunit ribosomal RNA
Source: RNAcentral
ACUGAAUUCUCUUCGGAGAUAGUAAGGUGGCGGACGGGUGAGUAACACGUAAAGACUUGCCCUGCAGUCUGGGACAACUAUUGGAAACGAUAGCUAAUACCGGAUAUUGCUGCAUGGCGAAAGCUGUAUGCGCUGCAGGAGAGCUUUGCGUCCCAUUAGUUAGUUGGUGAGGUAACGGCUCACCAAGACCGCGAUGGGUAGCCGGCCUGAGAGGGUGAACGGCCACAAGGGGACUGAGACACGGCCCUUACUCCUACGGGAGGCAGCAGUGGGGAAUAUUGGACAAUGGACCAAAGUCUGAUCCAGCAAUUCUGUGUGCACGAUGACGGUCUUAGGAUUGUAAAGUGCUUUCAAUCGGGAAAAAGAAAGUGAUGGUACCGAUAGAAGAAGCGACGGCUAAAUACGUGCCAGCAGCCGCGGUAAUACGUAUGUCGCAAGCGUUAUCCGGAUUUAUUGGGCGUAAAGCGCGUCUAGGCGGUCUGGUAAGUCUGAUGUGGAAAUGCGGGGCUCAACUCCGUAUUGCGUUGGAAACUGCCAGACUAGAGUACUGGAGAGGUGGGCGGAACUACAAGUGUAGAGGUGAAAUUCGUAGAUAUUUGUAGGAAUGCCGAUAGAGAAGUCAGCUCACUGGACAGAUACUGACGCUGAAGCGCGAAAGCAUGGGGAGCAAACAGGAUUAGAUACCCU